CAUGUGUAAAAGGAAGCUUCCUGCCUAAUAUGACUUGGGAUAUUGCUGCCUUCAUUCAAGUUCAUGACAAAUAAUGGGACCUAAGUGCUCAGGAAGUACCAAUCUCUUCCUGUUUGUUUUGCACAAUACAGAGGUAUGAUGCUGGACAGCGCAUGAAACGAUAGCAGACUCCCUUUGGGGUCUGAAAACAGAAACAACAAAAACCUCUGGGAGUUCCCGCUGUACUGCAGUCGAAAUGAAUCCAACUGAUAUGCAUGAGGAUGCAGAUUUGAUCCCUGGCCUCGCUCAAUAGGUUAAGGAUCCAGCGUUGCCCUGGGCUGUGGUACAGGUCACAGAGGCAGCUCGGAUCCCACGUGGCUGGGGCUGUGGUGUAGGCUGGCAGCUGUAGCUCCAAUUCUACCCCUAACCUGGGAACUUCCAUAUGCUAACUGAGGUCGUUUCAAGAGCGAUGUGAGAGAGCAAUAGCACACAACUGCUAUGGGGAAGCCCAGAGUCUCUGAACACAGAGGCUCAACUUCAGAAAAGCUCCUGGAGAAACUGUGAUCGCAUUGUGGUUAUCUGGACACCUCCACAUGGAAACAGCAAUGAUACGGUUUUAAGGCAGAAAAAGGGUUUCCAAAAGAGAAAGAGCAUAGUCAAUGCUCCUGCAUGGUCACAAACCAUUUCUGACAAAGGUCUCUGGUGUACUAGAUGCAGUCUGGCUUUCUUUUAGAUGACCAAGUUAGGAUACGGGGCCUAAACAUUGUGAAUAGUAUUGUCAAUGCAUGAAUUAACAACACAUUUUAGAAAUCACUUAGCCCAAUUAUCUCUAAACCAUGUUCAAGAUGAGAUUUGAGAAUGAUAAUAUGUGAGGCACUGGGAACAUCUGAUUGGAAAAUACUUUCUAAUUUUCUCUUUAUGACUAAGUUACACAAGAAUAGUAUUUACUCACUGCUAUGAUGAAGCUGAAUUUCAGCCACUGAAAACUCCUACAAUUAGAAACAAAUAUGAUUUAUGAAGUCUUUCUAAUAAUAAACUGCUUGAUGGGUUGAUAAACCACCAACAUUCAGUAUCUUUAGAUAUAUUUUUAAAAACUCAAACAUCACAUCCCUGGAAUGAAUAAAGCAAAACUCAAAGCUGGUUUCCUCUCUAGUCUUGUUCUCCUCGUUUCUGAGUUAAGAAUAUCCACAUCACAGGCCAAGAAGCCAACGAAAUGCCCCAGCUCUUGGACCAUAGAAAGAUUCAGUACCUCAGGUCCAAAUGGCUAUUCCAAUUAAUAUCACCAAAACAUACUAGAGGUUGGAAGUCACAUGAUUUUUUUUUUAAUAGAUAACACCUGGUCUCAUCAUUACAAAACUUCAAGCCAAAAAAAGAGAUUUUUAGGUCAGGAUUGGAGAAAAACUUGCUAAAUAUUUACAUACCAUACCUGUCCCCCUGUCCCCUUCCUGGUACGUUUUCCUAGAAUAAAUAAAUACCCAUUUCAUAGGAGCUUUUUAAAGGCUUCCUGUAUUAGCAGAUGAAUGGUGAACUGAACCUUACUGAUGGGUCUGACUUCCAAGAUAAAUCUGAAUAGAAAGAUGACCAGAUGACCGUCUUCUAAGUGCUUCCUUCACAUCCACGGAGUCAGUGAGACAGGGUUAUAUUUGCAAGAGGGUCUUUGUACCACUUUGGUUGUGCUCUUAACAUCCCAAUGCACAUACAGCUGUAGCUCCCUUUAUUCUUCCUUUAGUAUGAGUGUGUGUAAAUACAUAUCCUCAAAUCAACUACAUGGUUUUCUGACUGUUCUAUAUCCAAGAGAUAUCUUCUUGUAUUUUGAUAUUCAUUUAAUUACGACAUGCAAUUUACAAUGUUUGAACUACUACAGGACACAAAACACAGUUCUAUCCGGUUCUCUACUACUUCUAGGGUAAGGACUGACUUCGGCCCUUGCAAGGGACAAUAGCUGGAUGCCUCAACUUCACAGACAACUCCACAGUGACUUCACUUAAAGCCCAAAAGCACAUUUUCAGUUAGUGUGUACUCAGAGAAAUAGGCUUCCAGAUAAAAAUGUGCUUUUCCUCUUACUAUCUACCCACAGAAGCAUGCUGUUCCCUUCGGGAGAAGCAUGCUGUUUCCGCCGGGAGGGGAG
Molecule: long non-coding RNA, 2107 nt
Filed under: Sus scrofa (pig)
Lineage: Eukaryota; Metazoa; Chordata; Mammalia; Artiodactyla; Suidae
Description: lncRNA (ENSSSCG00060077368.1)
Source: RNAcentral